GACGAACGCUGGCGGCGUGCUUAACACAUGCAAGUCGAACGGAAAGGCCUGCUUUCCCUUGUGGAUUGCGGGUACUCGAGUGGCGAACGGGUGAGUAACACGUGAGUGAUCUGCCCCCAACUUGGGUAUAAGCCUGGGAAACUGGGUCUAAUUCCCGAUAGGACUGCAGGGUGGUGCCUGUGGUGGAAAACGAUUUUCUAGUGGUUGGGGAUGAGCUCGCGGCCUAUCAGCUUGUUGGUGGGGUAAUGGCCUACCAAGGCGGCGACGGGUAGCCGGCCUGAGAGGGUGGACGGCCACAUUGGGACUGAGAUACGGCCCCGACUCCUACGGGAGGCAGCAGUGGGGAAUAUUGCCCCAUGGGCGGAAGCCUGAUGCAGCGACGCCGCGUGGGGGAUGACGGCCUUCGGGUUGUAAACUCCUUUCGACCGCGAGGAAGCCACCUGGUUGGAAGGGUGGUGACGGUAGUGGUAGAAGAAGCACCGGCUAACUACGUG
Molecule: ribosomal RNA, 494 nt
Filed under: uncultured bacterium
Lineage: Bacteria
Description: partial 16S ribosomal RNA
Rfam family: Bacterial small subunit ribosomal RNA
Source: RNAcentral